UGCAGCUCGAGCGGAAAAUGGAAGCUUGCUCCCAAGAUGUUAGCGGCGGACGGGUGAGUAACACGUGGGUAACCUGCCUGUAAGACUGGGAUAACUCCGGGAAACCGGGGCUAAUACCGGAUGGUUGUUUGAACCGCAUGGUUCAAACAUAAAAGGUGGCUUCGGCUACCACUUACAGAUGGACCCGCGGCGCAUUAGCUAGUUGGUGAGGUAACGGCUCACCAAGGCAACGAUGCGUAGCCGACCUGAGAGGGUGAUCGGCCACACUGGGACUGAGACACGGCCCAGACUCCUACGGGAGGCAGCAGUAGGGAAUCUUCCGCAAUGGACGAAAGUCUGACGGAGCAACGCCGCGUGAGUGAUGAAGGUUUUCGGAUCGUAAAGCUCUGUUGUUAGGGAAGAACAAGUACCGUUCGAAUAGGGCGGUACCUUGACGGUACCUAACCAGAAAGCCACGGCUAACUACGUGCCAGCAGCCGCGGGAAUACGUAGGUGGCAAGCGUUGUCCGGAAUUAUUGGGCGUAAAGGGCUCGCAGGCGGUUUCUUAAGUCUGAUGUGAAAGCCCCCGGCUCAACCGGGGAGGGUCAUUGGAAACUGGGGAACUUGAGUGCAGAAGAGGAGAGUGGAAUUCCACGUGUAGCGGUGAAAUGCGUAGAGAUGUGGAGGAACACCAGUGGCGAAGGCGACUCUCUGGUCUGUAACUGACGCUGAGGAGCGAAAGCGUGGGGAGCGAACAGGAUUAGAUACCCUGGUAGUCCACGCCGUAAACGAUGAGUGCUAAGUGUUAGGGGGUUUCCGCCCCUUAGUGCUGCAGCUAACGCAUUAAGCACUCCGCCUGGGGAGUACGGUCGCAAGACUGAAACUCAAAGGAAUUGACGGGGGCCCGCACAACCGGUGGAGCAUGUGGUUUAAUUCUAAGCAA
RNAcentral lists this ribosomal RNA (922 nucleotides) under Bacillus subtilis. Its description in RNAcentral is "bacterial SSU rRNA". It matches the Rfam family "Bacterial small subunit ribosomal RNA", at positions 56 to 959 of the family's 1533-position model. Lineage: Bacteria; Bacillati; Bacillota; Bacilli; Caryophanales; Bacillaceae. The record is from RNAcentral.